GGCUCCCUGUAAGAGAUAAAUAGGGAGUCGGACCUGCCCAGUGAAUAUUUUAACGGCCGCGGUACUCUGACCGUGCAAAGGUAGCAUAAUCAUUUGCCUUAUAAUUGAAGGCUAGUAUGAAUGGUUUGACAAGAAUAUAGCUGUCUCUUUUAGAUUUAAUAGAAUUUUAUUUAAAGGUGAAGAAGCCUUUAUUUAAUUAAAAGACAAGAAGACCCUAUCGAGCUUGAAAAUAGUAAGUAGAUUAAAAUACUUUGAUAAUAUUAAAAAAAUUUCUAUUAAUAAUUUUAGUUGGGGCGACUGAGGAACAUAAAAAGCUUCCUUUAUAACUUAGAUAUUUACAAUUACUUGAUCCAAAAGUUUUUGAUUAAAGAAAUUAGUUACCGUAGGGAUAACAGCAUCAUCCUUUUUAAGAGUUCUUAUCGAAAAGGGGGUUUGUGACCUCGAUGUUGGACCAGAAUAUCCUAAAGAUGCAGCAGUCUUUAAGGGUUGGUCUGUUCGACCAUUAAAAUUCUACG
RNAcentral lists this ribosomal RNA (515 nucleotides) under Aegeofusinus rolani. RNAcentral describes it as "partial large subunit ribosomal RNA". It matches the Rfam family "Bacterial large subunit ribosomal RNA", at positions 1817 to 2600 of the family's 2925-position model. Lineage: Eukaryota; Metazoa; Mollusca; Gastropoda; Neogastropoda; Fasciolariidae. The record is from RNAcentral.